AUACCUUUCUUGGCCUUUUGGCUAAGAUCAAGUGUAGUAUCUGUUCUUAUCAGUUUAAUAUCUGGUAUGUUAUAGGUUAUAGUGAUAAGGUAGGUGGUGAAAAGGCAGGUGGUUAGGCAGUUAAC
Non-coding RNA from Gossypium arboreum, 125 nucleotides. Lineage: Eukaryota; Viridiplantae; Streptophyta; Magnoliopsida; Malvales; Malvaceae. The record is from Rfam.